Molecule: ribosomal RNA, 1399 nt
Filed under: uncultured Lactococcus sp.
Lineage: Bacteria; Bacillati; Bacillota; Bacilli; Lactobacillales; Streptococcaceae
Description: bacterial SSU rRNA
Rfam family: Bacterial small subunit ribosomal RNA
Source: RNAcentral
UGAGCGCUGAAGGUUGGUACUUGUACCGACUGGAUGAGCAGCGAACGGGUGAGUAACGCGUGGGGAAUCUGCCUUUGAGCGGGGGACAACAUUUGGAAACGAAUGCUAAUACCGCAUAAAAACUUUAAACAUAAGUUUUAAGUUUGAAAGAUGCAAUUGCAUCACUCAAAGAUGAUCCCGCGUUGUAUUAGCUAGUUGGUGAGGUAAAGGCUCACCAAGGCGAUGAUACAUAGCCGACCUGAGAGGGUGAUCGGCCACAUUGGGACUGAGACACGGCCCAAACUCCUACGGGAGGCAGCAGUAGGGAAUCUUCGGCAAUGGACGAAAGUCUGACCGAGCAACGCCGCGUGAGUGAAGAAGGUUUUCGGAUCGUAAAACUCUGUUGGUAGAGAAGAACGUUGGUGAGAGUGGAAAGCUCAUCAAGUGACGGUAACUACCCAGAAAGGGACGGCUAACUACGUGCCAGCAGCCGCGGUAAUACGUAGGUCCCGAGCGUUGUCCGGAUUUAUUGGGCGUAAAGCGAGCGCAGGUGGUUUAUUAAGUCUGGUGUAAAAGGCAGUGGCUCAACCAUUGUAUGCAUUGGAAACUGGUAGACUUGAGUGCAGGAGAGGAGAGUGGAAUUCCAUGUGUAGCGGUGAAAUGCGUAGAUAUAUGGAGGAACACCGGUGGCGAAAGCGGCUCUCUGGCCUGUAACUGACACUGAGGCUCGAAAGCGUGGGGAGCAAACAGGGUUAGAUACCCUGGUAGUCCACGCCGUAAACGAUGAGUGCUAGAUGUAGGGAGCUAUAAGUUCUCUGUAUCGCAGCUAACGCAAUAAGCACUCCGCCUGGGGAGUACGACCGCAAGGUUGAAACUCAAAGGAAUUGACGGGGGCCCGCACAAGCGGUGGAGCAUGUGGUUUAAUUCGAAGCAACGCGAAGAACCUUACCAGGUCUUGACAUACUCGUGCUAUUCCUAGAGAUAGGAAGUUCCUUCGGGACACGGGAUACAGGUGGUGCAUGGUUGUCGUCAGCUCGUGUCGUGAGAUGUUGGGUUAAGUCCCGCAACGAGCGCAACCCCUAUUGUUAGUUGCCAUCAUUAAGUUGGGCACUCUAACGAGACUGCCGGUGAUAAACCGGAGGAAGGUGGGGAUGACGUCAAAUCAUCAUGCCCCUUAUGACCUGGGCUACACACGUGCUACAAUGGAUGGUACAACGAGUCGCGAGACAGUGAUGUUUAGCUAAUCUCUUAAAACCAUUCUCAGUUCGGAUUGUAGGCUGCAACUCGCCUACAUGAAGUCGGAAUCGCUAGUAAUCGCGGAUCAGCACGCCGCGGUGAAUACGUUCCCGGGCCUUGUACACACCGCCCGUCACACCACGGGAGUUGGGAGUACCCGAAGUAGGUUGCCUAACCGCAAGGA